AGUGAACGCUGGCGGCAGGCCUAACACAUGCAAGUCGAACGGCAGAGCAGUAAGUGCUUGUGCUUACGGGGGGGGAGGGGUGAACGGGGGGUAAAAACAUCGGAAUCUGCUUUUUCGUGCGGGAUAAAGUAGGGAAACUUACGCUAAUACCGCAUACGACGUACGUGUGGAAUCAUGGGACCUUCGGAUCUUGCGUGAUCGUGUGAGCCGAUGUCGGAUUAGCUAGUUGGCGGGGUAAAGGCCCACCAAGGCGACGAUCCGUAGCUGGUCUGAGAGGGUGAUCAGCCACACUGGAACUGAGACACGGUCCAGACUCCUACGGGAGGCAGCAGUGGGGAAUAUUGGACAAUGGGCGCAAGCCUGAUCCAGCCAUGCCGCGUGGGUGAAGAAGGCCUUCGGGUUGUAAAGAACUUUUGUUGGGAAAGAAGAGCAGCAGGUUAAUACCCCGCUGUUUUGACGGUACCCAAAGAAUAAGCACCGGCUAACUUCGUG
This 492-nucleotide ribosomal RNA is filed under the name uncultured bacterium. Its description in RNAcentral is "partial 16S ribosomal RNA". It matches the Rfam family "Bacterial small subunit ribosomal RNA", at positions 29 to 507 of the family's 1533-position model. The record is from RNAcentral.